This 468-nucleotide ribosomal RNA is filed under the name uncultured bacterium. Its description in RNAcentral is "partial 16S ribosomal RNA". It matches the Rfam family "Bacterial small subunit ribosomal RNA", at positions 28 to 507 of the family's 1533-position model. The record is from RNAcentral.
GACGAACGCUGGCGGCGUGCUUAACACAUGCAAGUCGAACGGACAGGCCCUGCUUUUGUGGGGUGCUCGUGUGGCGAACGGGUGAGUAACACGUGAGUAACCUGUCCUUGACUUUGGGAUAACUUCAGGAAACUGGGGCUCAUACCGGCUAGGAGCUCCUGCUGCAUGGUGGGGGUUGGUAAGUUUCGGCGGUUGGGGAUGGACUCGCGGCUUAUCAGCUUGUUGGUGGGGUAGUGGCUUACCAAGGCUUUGACGGGUAGCCGGCCUGAGAGGGUGACCGGCCACGUUGGGACUGAGAUACGGCCCAGACGCAUACGGGAGGCAGCAGUGGGGAAUAUUGCACAAUGGGCGGAAGCCUGAUGCAGCAACGCCGCGUGCGGGAUGACGGCCUUCGGGUUGUAAACCGCUUUCGCCUGUGACGAAGCGUGAGUGACGGUAAUGGGUAAAGAAGCACCGGCUAACUACGUG